Molecule: ribosomal RNA, 410 nt
Filed under: uncultured bacterium
Lineage: Bacteria
Description: bacterial SSU rRNA
Rfam family: Bacterial small subunit ribosomal RNA
Source: RNAcentral
GACGAACGCUGGCGGCGUGCUUAACACAUGCAAGUCGAGCGGUAAGGCCCUUUCGGGGGUACACGAGCGGCGAACGGGUGAGUAACACGUGGGUGACCUGCCCUCAGCUCUGGGAUAAGCCUGGGAAACCGGGUCUAAUACUGGAUAUGACUCCAUGACGCAUGUUGUGGGGUGGAAAGCCUUGUGCGGCUGAGGAUGGGCCCGCGGCCUAUCAGCUUGUUGGUGGGGUGANGGCCUACCAAGGCGACGACGGGUAGCCGGCCUGAGAGGGCGACCGGUCACACUGGGACUGAGACACGGCCCAGACUCCUACGGGAGGCAGCAGUGGGGAAUAUUGGACAAUGGGCGAAAGCCUGAUCCAGCGACGCCGCGUGUGUGAAGAAGGCCUGCGGGUUGUAAAGCACUUUCGA